This 145-nucleotide small nuclear RNA is filed under the name Crocodylus porosus (Australian saltwater crocodile). Its description in RNAcentral is "U1 spliceosomal RNA (ENSCPRG00005012940.1)". The record is from RNAcentral. Lineage: Eukaryota; Metazoa; Chordata; Crocodylia; Crocodylidae.
AUACUUACCUGGCAGGGGAAGCAGCGUGACCACGUAGGUGAGCUCCCCAGGGUAAUUGUCUCUGAUAUGUCCUCCAUAGGAGGUCUAUAUUGAGCAGAUUCUUUUUGGUAUUGGGUGGUGGAACCGGAGCGUGCUCCAUCCACUC